Molecule: long non-coding RNA, 923 nt
Filed under: Monodelphis domestica (gray short-tailed opossum)
Lineage: Eukaryota; Metazoa; Chordata; Mammalia; Didelphimorphia; Didelphidae
Description: lncRNA (ENSMODG00000042442.1)
Source: RNAcentral
GGCCACAGCGAGAAGGAGGAGGAGAAGGAGGAGGAGGAGGAGGAGUGGGCUUCGGGACUCCCCUAAGGGUCACCUUUCCUAAUGAUAUGGUUAUUGUGAGCGCAUGCACACGACACAGCCCACUCCCUGCACUGAGCCUUGGCCAGAGUCACGCAGGAAAAGACGCAAACUAAGGUAGCAGCCCAGGCCGUUCUGCUAGUUACUGCCGGUGGAACCUCGAAUUCUUGUUACUUUGAAAGAGAGAGUGAGGCUGACAACUUUGUGCAAUUCUGCCUCACUUGACAUCACUGGUGAUAACAUUUUGGUCUUCUUCUUGAGUACAAAGCACAACCACCAACCAGUUAAGACAGCAACCCUGAGAUGGAUACAUUUAGCCUUAAAGACAACUGCGAGUUUGAGGGAUGGGCCAAUCAGGGUCCCUCAAUUCCUCAAUUGGAACUCACUGGCAUCUGGGGUAUCUGAGAAGAAGAAGGAAGAGGAGGAGGAAGAAGAAGAAGAAAUAAUGAGGAGGAGGAGGAGGAGGAGGAGGAAGAGAAUCUCCUUAAGGAAGAAGUCCAAUAUCAAGUUGAUGAUAAAAUGCUGAUUCAGUAGUUCUAUAACAUUUUUCAUAUUUUGCUGCUUUAAGUCUCAUUUUCUCAGGAGAAUAUAGUAAUAACUUAAUAUUGCUUAUUUUAAAUCAUUAUCAAUGUGCUCUUUUGAAUCUAGAAGCAAGUGCAGUGGACAAGAGUAUCAGGCCUGGAGUCAGAAAGACCUUAGUUCAAAUUUGACCUCAGACACUUACUAGCUGUGUGACCCUGGUCAAGUCACAACUCUGACUUAGUUUCCUCAUCUGUAAAAUGGAGAUAAUAAUAGCAUCUCCCUCUCAGGGUUGUGAAGAACAAAUGAAAUUAUAAUAAUAAAAUUACUUAGCAUAGUGCUUGGCA